Small nuclear RNA from Portunus trituberculatus (swimming crab), 109 nucleotides. The record is from RefSeq and is a predicted model, not a curated record. NCBI's taxonomy places the organism in Eukaryota, Metazoa, Arthropoda, Malacostraca, Decapoda, Portunidae.
GUGUUGUGCGAAAGGAGAGAAGGUUAGCACUCCCCUUGAUAAGGAUGAACAACACAUAUAAUUUCAAGGCACUGUCGCACUGUGUGUGUGUGUGUGUGUGUGUGUGUGU